Long non-coding RNA from Gallus gallus (chicken), 3594 nucleotides. RefSeq lists it as uncharacterized. Lineage: Eukaryota; Metazoa; Chordata; Aves; Galliformes; Phasianidae. The record is from RefSeq and is a predicted model, not a curated record. The transcript has 3 exons.
ACUGGUUGGGGAAGAUGUUGAAAGCAGUGGACUGGGAUCCAGGGGAUGUAGAUUAAAUUCCUUGUCUCUGCUGCAAACUUCCUGUGUGGCCUGGAGCAAACUGCAGCACUUGGUCUGUGUUUUAGUUUCAGACACGUGUGGGGUGCAGCUAAUGAGCCCUUUCUCCUGCCCUUUGUCUCCUUACUCUUCUUAGAGAUGUUCUUUAGAGAAGGUCUGCAGAGAUUCUCUGGGGCACAUGGAAGUUUCAAUGGGAGGCCCAAAACACAGUAAGGUGUGUUUCUUUAGUGAAGAGAAGCUAGAGAACUUAAUCUCAUAUCACAGGGCUGAAACAAAACUCCUAUUCAGCAAGCCCCCAAAUGGUGGACAUUUGAAAUCUGCAGCAGAAUUUUGCAGCCUGGUUCUCCUUCAGAUGGAAACAUUUUCUUUUAUAAUUCUUUAUCUUCCAAAUGCUGAGCAUGUUCUGAGCCUCAAUUGCUCAAGACUGAAAAUAAGCCCGGGGCAACAUCAAGAAGCUGCAACAUCUCUUUAAGAAGCGAGUAUUAAUAUAUUUCCUGUUAGAUAUAGAAAACAGGAUUAGAGGUGAUAUAAUGACAAAGGCCUCCUACGAAAUGAUGAAUAAAUGUCAUUAAUGCCCCCCAAUGGGCAAACUGGUCUCCCACCUGCAUGUGCAUAUCAGGCUUGUAUUAGGUUGUCAUACAUAAUUGAUAGUGAAAUAAGACCACUUUUCACUGAACAGGAAAAAAGCUCACACUGUAAAUUGGCAGAUUCAUUUGCAAGCAGAUCGAUCGGAUCAAAGAUCGGGAAGUUUACUCCAAAUUGAUUUUAUUACAUGAAUUCUAGGAUUGUGUCACAAAUAUCUUUAUAUUUCAAGUAAAUAAAUAAAUAAAUAAAUACCCAUUAGAAGAAAAUAUUUUCUUUCUCUGAAAGAAGUAUGCAUCUUUUUCUCCUUUAUACCAGUUCAAUUUGGGUAAUGAUGCUAUACGAAAUGCGUCUGUUAACAGUAGUAUCUCUCAAAACAGUGUGGCGUUUACUAAGUAAUGACAUCUAUUGAGGAACAGUACUUCAAGAAAAUGGAAAGGAGAAGCCCAUUCAGACUUGGCCAACCAAAGCAUUUGAAAUUGUACAUUCAUUUAACUGUGAAUUAGGAGCGAGGUGGAUGGGAUGACCUUAUGGAUCUAUUCUGUCUCUAGAUCUUACGUGAUAGGCUGCAGCAGUUGGUGUGGGGCAUGUGGAGGUUUAAGGGAAAGUAAUUUCUGUGUGAUUUUAAACAAUAUACUGGCUGCAGGUAUUUCCCAUGGGCCUCCCCUGGAGUGCACAUAACAGCCAAGCUUUCCCCAUUCCCCAAGCUUUUAAAAAAUGCUGGAUCAUCUCCACAGUGGGCAGCUUAAAAAGCCAGGGGUUAGGCACUGGGUCUCCCACACCAUUGGAAGGGUUCAGUCCUCCCAUCCACAAGAAGUGUCCUUUUCUUUCUCAGACUGUCAAAAUGAAGCUAUGACAAAUCACACAACCAUCAGUGUGCAGGAAUUUGUUUUUGAAAUAGCAUAAACUUGUUGUAGAACAGACUGCAAAACAGCAAAAUUAGAGGCUUAGAGUCAAAUUUCGGCUGGACAAGACCCUGGAAGUUUCUGGCCCAGCCCUGCUGCAGCAGGCUCGGCACUGAUCAGGCUGCUCAGGGCCAUCCCUUGCAGGGCUGAAAAACUGCCAAGAACAGAGCCAGCACAUCCACUCCCACUGUCCCUAUGGGGAAAAGCCUUCUUGUGUCUGGCACAAAACUCUCCUGUUUCAGCACUGCAAAGAGCCUGCCUCCCUCUCCAUGCUCACCUUCUCCAGGCAGGGCCAGUCCCCAUCUCUCAACCUCUCUUCACGGGACCACUGCACCCAUUUCUCCCAAUCUUGUAUGGAGAUGAGCCCAUGCCUGGACACCGGAUCCAGAAAUAGCCCCACCAGCACAGAUCUCAGCACCAUCCCCAGGGAUGUGCCUUGGCCCAGCUACUCCUAAUCCAUUUCCUUGCAGAGUUGUUCACAUAGAUGUUCCAGGAGACUGUUUUACUUCUCCUUGAAUGUCACAAGACUGCUGGUGGUUCAUCCCCCCAGCCCAUCUGGAUCCUGAGGUGAAGAGCCAUGCUGUUGUUACUCCUGAAAUAAUUAUACCAAUGUAUACAUGAUUUGGAAGCCUUUCAGUUCAUUUCUGACAGGAUCUCCAGGGUCAGACAAAUUUCUGAAGUGAAGUUGGCAAGCAGUGGCUGAGAAGUAGACCAGAAAAUUUCCCACAGAAAUUCACUUGCCAUGUUUUUGAUUUAUAUUGUUAUUUUGUAAGUGGCACUUUUUUGACGUUAAAAAAUAAACAAGUUAAGCAAUGUAGCCCAAUACAUACUUAGAAGAAAAAAAUGAAAUGAAUGCUGAGAACCUGCGUACUUAAUUUCUGUGGCAUGACCUCAAUUUUGGGUUGACCUGGAGUUUUUCAAAAGAAAAUAGAAAUACACAGCAAUGAUUCUUUUUCUAAUGGAAAUAUAUUGUUUUUCAGUAAUGAGAUCCAGAAUGGAAUUUCUAGUCUGAACCGGAACAAAGGAGCUGUACCUCAGAAUAAUCCCUGGCUAGGGCCCACUCUAGGGGCAGGAGAGUCUCAAGUCCUGAUUUGCUCCGCUCACAAUUUGCCUCCUGCCUCCCCUUGGGUCCCUAAAGGAUUGCUCUACUUAGUUUCCAAAACAGUUUUUUUUGUAACACUUUGAUUUUAUUCCAACACAGAAUGAAAAUAAGUUUCAAAACCUCAACAAUUUUUGUUAAACUGAAUUUUCCCAGCCAAACCUACCAUGCCUUAUUACUGUUACAAAUCCCCCCAAGCAAUCACAGAAUAAUCGGAAAGGACCACUGCAUCCAUAAAAAUCCCAAAUCGAAACCAAAGUGUAGAAAGAAGAGAUACAGCACAUCAGGAGGUCAGUGUUUGUGUGGCCAACCCAUGCUGGCAUUAUACUGCAGGGACAGGGAUGAUGGUUAUAGCUUAAGGCUCCACAGGGGUAAUCCAACCUGGUCUGUCUGAGGGGAACAGAUCCGAGUUGUGGAACCUCCCACAUGCUGUUCCCCACACAGGCAAUUGCUGCUUGUGCACACAGCCAUCUGUCUCCACAUCCCCUUCUCUGCUUGGCAGCCACCUCCUUCUCUGAAUUUCCCCACCAAAACAUAGCAGCCCUCAAACAUCCCUGUGGCAGUAGCUGCUGCUGCCAGUGUUACCCUUCUGCUUGCUUGCCAGGAGGAUUUUGGACAGGUAAGCAAGAAAGAUGGAAAGGAAGCAUAUUUGAGCAUACAUAAUUCAGCCCUUCUUGCCUCAGCUGGUCACAAACCAGAGAGGAGACAAGCUUGUUCCCUGCCUGAUUCUCCAUCCUUCAUUUUCUAGAGUUCACUAGGUAUAUCCCACAACCUUUGUUUGACCUGCAGGCAGUUAGAAUGAUCAUAAGAAUCAUAGAAUCAUCAAGGUUGAAAAGAUCUCCAAGAUCAUCCAGUCCAACUAUCCACCUAUCACCAAUGUUUCGCACUAAACCAUGUCCCUCAGUACGACAUCAAAAUGUUUCUUGAACACCUCCAGGGUCAAUGACUCCA